UAAAUACUCCCUCCGUCCGGAAAUACUUGUCCAAGGAAUGGAUGUAUCUAGAUGUAUUUUAGUUCUGGAUACACCCAUUUGUAUCCAUUUCUAUGACAAGUAUUUCCGGACGGAGGGAGUACCAU
Non-coding RNA from Triticum urartu, 125 nucleotides. The record is from Rfam. NCBI's taxonomy places the organism in Eukaryota, Viridiplantae, Streptophyta, Magnoliopsida, Poales, Poaceae.